AGUAAAAGUCGUAACAAGGUCUCCGUAGGUGAACCUGCGGAGGGAUCAUUACAAGUGACCCCGGUCUAACCACCGGGAUGUUCAUAACCCUUUGUUGUCCGACUCUGUUGCCUCCGGGGCGACCCUGCCUUCGGGCGGGGGCUCCGGGUGGACACUUCAAACUCUUGCGUAACUUUGCAGUCUGAGUAAAUUUAAUUAAUAAAUUAAAACUUUUAACAACGGAUCUCUUGGUUCUGGCAUCGAUGAAGAACGCAGCGAAAUGCGAUAAGUAAUGUGAAUUGCAGAAUUCAGUGAAUCAUCGAAUCUUUGAACGCACAUUGCGCCCUUUGGCAUUCCGAAGGGCAUGCCCGUCCGAGCGUCAUUUCACCACUCGAGCCCCGCUCGGUGUUGGGCGUCGCGUCUACCGCGCGCCUCAAAGUCCCCGGCCGUGUGGUCCGUCCCCGAGCGUUGUGGCACAACUGUUUCGCUUUGGGUGACGCGCCGCGACGGCCGUUAAGCCUUCUCACCAGGUUGACCUCGGAUCGGGUAGGGAUACCCGCUGAACUUAAGCAUAUCAAUAAGCGGAGGA
Molecule: ribosomal RNA, 568 nt
Filed under: uncultured fungus
Lineage: Eukaryota; Fungi
Description: eukaryotic LSU rRNA
Rfam family: 5.8S ribosomal RNA (bases 208-361)
Source: RNAcentral